RNAcentral lists this unclassified non-coding RNA (240 nucleotides) under soil metagenome. RNAcentral's name for it is "partial contains 5.8S ribosomal RNA, internal transcribed spacer 2, and large subunit ribosomal RNA". The record is from RNAcentral.
AACGGUCUAUACCUGCGGUACCUGCGGAAGGAUCAUUAUAGAGUGGUAAACCUCCCGUAAAAAGGGGGGGACCUCCCGUCCUUUGCAGGCUCUUUUUUAAGGGGCUUUUUUGACUUUCUGCUUCGGUGGGGUUAUCCUACCGGAACAACUUCAAAACUCUGAAUCAAAAAAAUCGUUCUGUCCGAGGGCUUUUUUAUAAAAUAAAAAAAAACUUUCAACAACGGAUCUCUAGAUCGGAAG